UGGGCGGUAUGGUGGUACAUUUGGUUAUCAUUGUGCUUUAUUUAAAUUGUGGAGCUGCAUCAAACAAACUUUGGCAUUCUUAUCAAUUUGGAACGGGAGUAGGAAAUAGAGAAGAAUUGGUAAUAACAGAUUUAAAAUUAAACAGUCAUUUUAAUUAUGGAAAUAAUGUGACAAAGUGGAGAAGUAUAUCAUUAAAUGACAAAAGUUACGCGGUUGGGUACACAACAUCUCAAGUUAUUUUAAUUACUACAAAAUUAAAUCAAGAUAACGGAUUUAACCUUUCUUCAAACAUUAUAGAAUAUAAUGAUACAAUUUGCGAUGCAAUUGUAAUGGGAAAAUGGAAUACAAAUCUAGGACAGUACGAACUCAUUCUUGUUACUGCAACUGAAUCAAACUUUAUUACUCAACUUAAGUGGUUCCAAAUUGGAAAAGAAACUAACACGCACCUGUGGACAUGGAAAUUGCAUGAGAAGGUACUCUAUUUAAGCCAAAAAGAAAUUCACGGUACCACUAAAUUAUUU
Long non-coding RNA from Agrilus planipennis (emerald ash borer), 521 nucleotides. RefSeq lists it as uncharacterized. The record is from RefSeq and is a predicted model, not a curated record. NCBI's taxonomy places the organism in Eukaryota, Metazoa, Arthropoda, Insecta, Coleoptera, Buprestidae. The transcript has 4 exons.